CUAAUUAUUUUGUUUUUUUUUUGUUCUACCAUGUAUUAUGCCAAUUAUAAUGACUGCUAUUCCAAUUUGGAUGAUCAUUUUUAUGUGAUAAUAAUUGCUAAAAUGCCGAUAAUAAUCAGCAUUAAGCAUUGAUAAUCUUCAAAGACUCAUAGAGGAAUUCCCUCAAUGCGUUUGUAUACACCAAUAUUUACAAUGCACGAUAAAUGACAAGUUCUCAAUGACAAGGCAUGGAAAAGAAUCCACCAUUCUUCUCAUCGACUGUAGCAUGCUCGCAAUCCAUUAGCCCAA
Molecule: long non-coding RNA, 288 nt
Filed under: Elaeis guineensis (African oil palm)
Lineage: Eukaryota; Viridiplantae; Streptophyta; Magnoliopsida; Arecales; Arecaceae
Description: long non-coding RNA (EGUI_LNC004619)
Source: RNAcentral